UGGGGGAUAACGUAGGGAAACUUACGCUAAUACCGCAUACGACCUUCGGGUGAAAGCAGGGGACCUUCGGGCCUUGCGCGGAUAGAUGAGCCGAUGUCGGAUUAGCUAGUUGGCGGGGUAAAGGCCCACCAAGGCGACGAUCCGUAGCUGGUCUGAGAGGAUGAUCAGCCACACUGGAACUGAGACACGGUCCAGACUCCUACGGGAGGCAGCAGUGGGGAAUAUUGGACAAUGGGCGCAAGCCUGAUCCAGCCAUACCGCGUGGGUGAAGAAGGCCUUCGGGUUGUAAAGCCCUUUUGUUGGGAAAGAAAAGCAGUCGAUUAAUACUCGGUUGUUCUGACGGUACCCAAAGAAUAAGCACCGGCUAACUUCGUGCCAGCAGCCGCGGUAAUACGAAGGGUGCAAGCGUUACUCGGAAUUACUGGGCGUAAAGCGUGCGUAGGUGGUUGUUUAAGUCUGUUGUGAAAGCCCUGGGCUCAACCUGGGAAUUGCAGUGGAAACUGGACGACUANAGUGUGGUANAGGGUAGUGGAAUUCCCGGUGUAGCANUGAAAUGCGUA
RNAcentral lists this ribosomal RNA (560 nucleotides) under Stenotrophomonas sp. C3-2(2015). RNAcentral describes it as "bacterial SSU rRNA". It matches the Rfam family "Bacterial small subunit ribosomal RNA", at positions 137 to 692 of the family's 1533-position model. The record is from RNAcentral. Lineage: Bacteria; Pseudomonadati; Pseudomonadota; Gammaproteobacteria; Lysobacterales; Lysobacteraceae.